ACGCUCGACACCUACGGGAGGCAGCAGUGGGGAAUAUUGCACAAUGGGGGAAACCCUGAUGCAGCGACGCCGCGUGAAGGAAGAAGUAUCUCGGUAUGUAAACUUCUAUCAGCAGGGAAGAAAAUGACGGUACCUGACUAAGAAGCCCCGGCUAACUACGUGCCAGCAGCCGGGUAAUCUGAGCGGGCUGGCAAGGC
Molecule: ribosomal RNA, 197 nt
Filed under: uncultured bacterium
Lineage: Bacteria
Description: partial 16S ribosomal RNA
Rfam family: Bacterial small subunit ribosomal RNA
Source: RNAcentral